CUUUUGGGUGCCUGUUGCACAGCGGGAGCGGACUGUUAUCAGAAGGGGAAGUCCUGUGCUGCAAACAGAAAACAGAGCUCGAAAUCUGCAGAGGGAAACGGCAACAGGAGCGGGCAGGUGGCAGCGGGUGGGUGCAUGGCCUCGUGGGAGCGGUGCUGGUGGCAGGGGUCCCGGGUGCCCCGGCAGCACCCUCAGCGCCUGGGCUGCCACCGCGUCCCCGCGAGCCCGGCUCACCGCUGCCCUGCGCGACCGAAUGCGCUUUGGCAACGGAUGGCUGCCACCGGGGCGAGUUUCCAUCGCAACAAGGACCCGGCUUCCAGAUUUUUAAACUUAGGAGAGGUGAAUCCAGAAGGCUGAUGACAAAGCAGCGAUGAAGAUUCAUUCAGUGCUACAGGGACCAGCGCCAAGGAGGAAGCAGAGAAAAGCGACUUCACACAGUUUGUGGCAGGAAGGUACCUGCCAUAAGUUUGAGCAGCCCUAAAGAUGUUGCAGGCUAUGGCAGCCUCCUAAGGCAGUCCUGAGCCCAGGAGCUCUGUGAAUGUAUCCUCUUCCCAGCUCUCCCUCUCAGUCCCUUUCACAAGCAAUAUAUCUAUUUAUUUAAAGAGGGGAGGGGGAGGUGAAAGAUUGCAAGUCUUGGUAUGAGGUUUCUUUCAUUUGCCAAGGGAAAAUCUGAAAGCAUUAAAUGUGCAGAGUGAUGGACUUGGUGGAGCAAAGCUGAGGAAUGGCUUUAAAUGGGCCAUGUAUUUGUUGCUGGAGCUUAAUAAAGCUGCUGGCUGAUGACAGUUUGCUACUGGCUCUGGACAGUGGAAAAAGUCGUCCCAAUGACAGCAAACAAACAGGGGCAAACUCCACCCCUUCCUUAAAAUUGGACCAAGGAAAUGGACUCUUAGCAUGAUGGGUUGUAACUGGGACCCUGUUUUUGAAAUGUGAUCCACGUGUGCAAAUCCCACACAGAUCAGAUGCCAAAACUUCAGUGCUUCUUUGACAUUUCAGUUGAGAUGGAGAACAAAUGUGUUCUGUACUCAUCUUUUAUUUUUUUAAACAAAAACGGUUAACUUUGAAACAAGGGCUUUGAUUGCUAUCUCUCUGACGUCAGCUUUACAUUGAUGUAAUUCUAUAGGCUGGUGGGAUCAUUGCUGGUUUGCACUGGUGUACGCAGGCGAACAAUCAGGCUCUAUGUUUUCCAAGCAGUGAAGCUGCUUAUGUUUUGUGCAAAGAAGGAAACUCAGUUAAACAACUUAAAUGGAAAAAUAAAGUAACCAAGAAAUUCAGAAGGUUCCAAAAGCAAUAUAAGAACAGAUACACCUACAAUGUUCUAACUGUAUCGCUAGUUUUAAAAAAAUACCUAGCCUAAUUAAGAUUGACUUUGCUGUAAAUAUGUACAGUGAUCUCUCUAAUUUUCAAGUUUUGAGUGACAUCCAAAGGUGCAACAGCUAUGCUUGCAGGGUGAGAUGUACGACAAGAUGACCCUUUGGAGGGAUGCUGGCUCUGCUUCACCUGUGACUGCUGGACUCUUCUAUGAAAUGGGUGCUAAUGUGAUGGAGGAGGAACCCUGCCUGAAACAGGCAAAUCCAAAGGACUGCCUGACAGGCUGAAUGGGAUGGCAAGUCUGCAGACAGCUGUAUAGAAAAACUUGUCAGAAGAGGGUUGUGGUACAAACUCCAGAUCUGUUGUAUGUCUCUGUGGCCAAAAGGGAAACCAUCCUCCUCUGAAGUGAAGCAGGAUCUGAAGCAUGUAUCUCAGAUAUACUCUUUGCUCUCUGGGUCCAGAAGUGGUCUGACUCAAGAUGGGAAGCUGACCCUGAAAUCUACACAGUCACAGAGAGUAGUACUGCACACCAAACCUGGCUUACGCUUGUCAUAACCCUUGGAACUUUUCUUUUUUUUUUAAUGAUAAGCAGUUUUCAGGCUGUUGCUUACAUUUCCCAUUGGCUUGAACUUCUAAGAGCUAUGAAGUAAUGGGAAACUGUGCACUUAUGAUUUGGCUCAUUCGUUAAGAAAACACCAUGGAAAAAGUGCUUUGAGAGAGCAUUUUCUUGGAAGUUGGGCCUGUUUGUGUCUGGCGAACUGUUUAAAAAACCAAAAGCGCUGAAGUGAUAUUAAGACUCAAAAAAAUAUUAAAAAAUACUAUGUGCAACAUAACAGUUAAAUAGCUACAGUUGUAGUUAAAAAGUAGAAAGGCAGAUUUGAUUUUGCUGGUGUAAAACCAAUAGUAGAACAAGCUACAAACUAAUUUGCAAUGUCUUACAGCAACAAUUAGUGGCCUAAAGGAUGUGACUUUUCAUUAGGAUGACUAUCACCAGUAGGAGGAUCUGACAGGUAGCUGAAUCAUGCCCAGUGUAGUCACACCGAACUUCACAUAUACAUACAUCUACAGUGUUUAUUGCUCAGUCAAAUUCCUCCUUUUAUAAUUCUGGAUUGCCACAUUUGCAAUUAUAUUGCAUCCGGCAGAGAGCUCUGAGAUCUGUAAUUACCAAACAUAUCUACAGCAGUCACACAGCAACAGAAGUGACACUCAUGUACUUACGAGGGUAAUAUCAAAGCACUGCAUUUGCUACCCUCCUACUUGCCUAGGUAUUUCAGAGUAUGACUGAAAUGAGAGAUGUUUACUGGACAGUUUAUUCUGUGAAGCACCCUCCGAGUGUAGUGAUGUACAGCUGAUAAAUGUGAGAGGGAAAUAGGUGCCGCUGAUGAGAACCAAACAACGUAGAACUGAGCCCUGGAAUUUUACGUUCUUUGCAAUAUCUUCUGUGGCUGCUCAGCUAGCUGUCAGAAGAGGGUUGUUACGCAGAUCCUGGCACACCAGAAAGGAUGAGGCAUUGAUUGAACCAUGCACGUUGUUUCUCUGUAGAAAGGGCAGAAAAUAUGCAUAUUUGUAAAUCAUCUUGUUGUAGGGAGUGAGUGCCCUUCAUAGGGCUCAGUCUAUAAGAUGGAGGUGUUUGUAAACAGUCAUCACAGUGGCAGAGAACUGAUGGUGUAAUGACAGGAGGGAUGGCAGUAUCUGUGUAUAUCCCAACCACGGGACCACGUUAAAGCGAG
Molecule: long non-coding RNA, 3038 nt
Organism: Tyto alba (common barn owl)
Lineage: Eukaryota; Metazoa; Chordata; Aves; Strigiformes; Tytonidae
Exons: 3
Source: RefSeq, a predicted model, not a curated record